This 233-nucleotide long non-coding RNA is filed under the name Spirodela polyrhiza (greater duckweed). RNAcentral's name for it is "long non-coding RNA (SPOL_LNC002538)". The record is from RNAcentral. Lineage: Eukaryota; Viridiplantae; Streptophyta; Magnoliopsida; Alismatales; Araceae.
UCCCUCGCGGCCACUUGAAUGCGCUACGGCCGGGGAGAUGAUCGAUCUGACAUCUCCAAACAGCCAUUUUCCGGCGAGCGCAUGAUUCACAUGCCCAGCUCGGUUCUGUGGCCGGCUCCGGCAUCCCCUUCCUGGACGCCGGCGCCACCAAAUUCCUGGAUCCCGAUUUCUUGCACCUUCAGGUCAGGUGGCGACCACCAGAGGUGCUGUUAUAUACUACCUGCCGAAGAUCG